AUGACUCGUAUCAGCAAGUUCCCAGUGCCUGUGAUAGAAGAGUUGCUCGAUGAGCUCCACGGAGCAAGGUGGUUCUCAAAGCUCGAUCUCCGAGCCGGCUACCAUCAGAUACGACUGGCUGAGGGCGAGGAGUUCAAGACGGCAUUCCAAACGCACUUCGGACAUUAUGAAUUCAAAGUUCUGUCUUUUGGAUUGGCGGGCGGGCCAGCCACAUUCAUCGGUGCUAUGACAGAAACAUUACACCCAGUCCUCCGACACUGCGUCCUCUUAUUCUUCGACGACAUAUUGAUCUUUAGCAAGACGUGGGCAGAACACAUUGAUCACCUCAGGCAAGUUCUCGAGCUGUUGCGCAGAGAUCACUGGAAGGUCAAGCGCUCGAAGUGCGAAUUCGGCCAACAACAGCUAUCUUAUCUUGGUCACGUCAUCAGCGGCGACGGCGUAGCCACGGAGCCCAGCAAAAUUCGAGCGGUACCAGCCUGGAACACACCCAAGGACACCAAGGAAGUGCGCCAAUUCCUCGGCCUUGCAGGGUACUAUCGCCAUUUCGUCCGCGGGUUUGGAGUGAUAGCCAGGCCCCUAUUCAACUUACUCAAGAAAGGGGUGCCGUUCGUUUGGACCGAUAACACAGCACAAGCAUUUGAGCUGCUCAAGCAACAGCUGAUUACAGCCCCAGUCCUCGCACUCCCGGAUUUCAACAAAACAUUCAUGGUGGAAACAGAUGCCUGCGACAAAGGAAUUGGCGCAGUUUUGCAAUAG
RNAcentral lists this ribosomal RNA (756 nucleotides) under Triticum aestivum (bread wheat). RNAcentral describes it as "partial small subunit ribosomal RNA". The record is from RNAcentral. Lineage: Eukaryota; Viridiplantae; Streptophyta; Magnoliopsida; Poales; Poaceae.